RNAcentral lists this ribosomal RNA (870 nucleotides) under Mesocriconema sphaerocephalum. RNAcentral's name for it is "SSU rRNA". It matches the Rfam family "Eukaryotic small subunit ribosomal RNA", at positions 70 to 948 of the family's 1831-position model. The record is from RNAcentral. Lineage: Eukaryota; Metazoa; Nematoda; Chromadorea; Rhabditida; Criconematidae.
CAGUCUCAUGCGGUGAACCGCAACGGCUCAUUACAACAGCUGUAAUUUACUCGGUCUUGAACAGCUUACUCGGAUAACUGUGGUAAUUCUAGAGCUAAUACGUGCACCAAAGCUGUCCCCUACCGGGGGCAGUGCAUUUGUUGGAGCAAAACCAGGCGGCCUCGGCCGUUUACUAGCUGAACCAGAACAACUAAGCUGAUCGCAUGGGCUUGUCCCGGCGACGUACCGUUCAAGUAUCUGCCUUAUCAACUUUCGAUGGUAGUGUAUUUGCCUACCAUGGUUGUGACGGGUAACGGAGGAUAAGGGUUCGACUCCGGAGAAGGGGCCUGAGAAAUGGCCACUACGUCUAAGGAUGGCAGCAGGCGCGCAAAUUACCCACUCUCGGUUUGAGGAGGUAGUGACGAAAAAUAACAAGGUGGUUCUCUACGAGGCCCACCAUUGGAAUGGGUACAACCCAAACCCUUUAACGAGUAUCAAUGAGAGGGCAAGUCUGGUGCCAGCAGCCGCGGUAAUUCCAGCUCUCAAAAUGCAUAGAUACAUUGCUGCGGUUAAAAAGCUCGUAGUUGGAUUUGUGCUGGCGUCGUGGUCCACCCGAAAGGGCGGUACUGCGCUCGUCGGCUUUUGGCCGGUCUUCGUAUGGUCUCCCUAACCGGUGGUCAUGCGUGGCUGGCCGCUUUACUUUGAGCAAAUCAGAGUGCUCAGCACAGGCGUUUCGCCGGAAUGUUCGUGCAUGGAAUAAUAGAACAGGAUCACGGUCCUCUUUUAUUGGUUUUGUGGACUGAGAUAAUGGUUAACAGAGACGAACGGGGGCAUUCGUAUUGCUGCGUGAGAGGUGAAAUUCUUGGACCGCAGCAUGACGGACUACAGCGA